AGAGUUUGAUCAUGGCUCAGAUUGAACGCUGGCGGCAUGCCUAACACAUGCAAGUCGAACGGAAACGAUGGGAGCUUGCUCCCAGGCGUCGAGUGGCGGACGGGUGAGUAACACAUAGGAAUCUGCCCAGUAGCGGGGGACAACCUGGUGAAAACCAGGCUAAUACCGCAUACGCCCUACGGGGGAAAGCAGGGGAUCUUCGGACCUUGCACUAUUGGAUGAGCCUAUGUCAGAUUAGCUUGUUGGUAGGGUAACGGCCUACCAAGGCGACGAUCUGUAGCUGGUCUGAGAGGACGAUCAGCCACACUGGGACUGAGACACGGCCCAGACUCCUACGGGAGGCAGCAGUGGGGAAUAUUGCACAAUGGGGGAAACCCUGAUGCAGCAAUGCCGCGUGUGUGAAGAAGGCCUGCGGGUUGUAAAGCACUUUCAGUAGGGAGGAAACAGUUACGGGUUAAUAUCCCGUAGCCUUGACGUUACCUACAGAAGAAGCACCGGCUAACUCUGUGCCAGCAGCCGCGGUAAUACAGAGGGUGCAAGCGUUAAUCGGAAUUACUGGGC
RNAcentral lists this ribosomal RNA (561 nucleotides) under uncultured bacterium. RNAcentral describes it as "bacterial SSU rRNA". It matches the Rfam family "Bacterial small subunit ribosomal RNA", at positions 8 to 559 of the family's 1533-position model. The record is from RNAcentral.